RNAcentral lists this non-coding RNA (135 nucleotides) under Mycolicibacterium bacteremicum. Lineage: Bacteria; Bacillati; Actinomycetota; Actinomycetes; Mycobacteriales; Mycobacteriaceae. The record is from RNAcentral.
GACCCCGGGCGUUCCUGCCGCACGGUAGAGUCCGGUUCGACCAGCAGGGGAAUCCGGUGACAAUCCGGAGCUGACGCGCAGCGGUAUGAGGUCUGACCUCGAAGCCCGAAUGCCUGCGGUCGUUGAACCGUCGAC